This is a long non-coding RNA of Bos taurus (domestic cattle), 1344 nucleotides long. NCBI's taxonomy places the organism in Eukaryota, Metazoa, Chordata, Mammalia, Artiodactyla, Bovidae. The record is from Ensembl.
ACUCUUGUCUCAAAGCAGGAAACUUGUGAGCUGAACUCCAAGUGUGCUCCAGUCACUCACAGUGGGCACACUUUCCUAGUUCUCUUCCUCUGUAAACUUCUCUCUGUCUGGCGUGCCUUCCCUACCCCUUUCAAUCUGGAGAAAGUCUAAUUAUAGUUCUAAAGCCUUGUUCAAAUGUCACCUCUGUUAAGUGAAAGUCGGUCAGUCAUGCCGACUAUUUGCGACCUCAUGGACUAUACAGUCCAUGAAAUUCUCCAGGAGGGGGUAGUCCUUCCCUUCUCCAGUGGAUAUUCCUGACCCAGGAAUCGAACCGGGGUCUCCUGAAUUGCAGGCGGAUUCUUUACCAGCUAUCAGAGAAGCCCCCUUCUCGGUUAAGUGGUCCCUAACUCCCUCAGUUUACCCCCUCCUCUGACUCUCACAGCACUUUUUCCGACCAUAGUAGGCGUCACACGCCAAAUAUUCACUCAUUCCCAUCCUCCACCUCCUUGUCUCACUCACCAGUCCCAUCACACAGACAGAGCUCCUGAAGAACCAGGACUGGGUCUCACUGGCCUUUGCAACCAUUACACUCAGCAGGGAACCUGGGGCAACAGAAGGCGGCACAAUAAACGAGGGUUUAGUUUAGUCAAUGAAUGACCCUCCCUACUAAACCCUAUAAAAACAUCAGCACAAUUUAUAAAGCUGACUUACCUCCAACAUUUCAUGCUGGUUUAAGGACGUUCCGCAAGCAUCUAUAAGCCCUCCUUCCUCCAGCUUCUAACUCAAGGCUUUCUGCAUGGCGCCCUGCGCAGGACCACCAAUGCUUAUACGCAGUGGACUCUCAAAUGAUGAUGAUAAUAAGAAAAAUAACAAUAUUACUAACACUACUAAUACGUCCAAACCUCACCAACUUCAGGAAAGACUGAAGGAAGCCAUUCUUGUGGGCGAAACACAAGUAAGGCCGGAGCCAGGGCGCAAACCAGAGCUGGAGGCAAGGGCUCUGCAGUCCGCUUUCCGAACCUCCCAAAACGCUUACGUCCUACAUUCUCACGAGGCCUGCCCGGGUCUGCUGAGGCUCACGGCAGCCCACCCUGUGCUGUACAAUAGGAAGCCAGUUGCCGCUUUCCAGACUCCUGCUCCUCGCGGCAGGGCCGGCAGCCCCGGCGAAAGGAACAACCAAUCACGCGGUGGCCAGUGGAUCACGUGGCGCCCAGGCUGGUGCGGAGAGCAGCCAAUCGGAGCGCGAGGCGAACUUUGGGGACGGAGCCGGCCAGAGGGCGCAAGCGCAUUUGCAGUCGCUCUAUGGCUGGGCGGGUUCUGAAGCCUGAGUUAAAAGUUAGACGCGGAGUGGUUUCUGCCGGUCUU